Long non-coding RNA from Mesocricetus auratus (golden hamster), 398 nucleotides. RefSeq lists it as uncharacterized. Lineage: Eukaryota; Metazoa; Chordata; Mammalia; Rodentia; Cricetidae. The record is from RefSeq and is a predicted model, not a curated record. The transcript is spliced from 3 exons.
GUGAAAACGGAGUGUUGAAGUCUUCUACUACUAUCCCAUGACAGCUGCUGGUAUUAUAGUAUGCGCCGCCUUGUCUAUCUGAAAACAUGGGUUUCGGAAGAGAAAAUACAGAACAACUUCGCCACUGAGGGCUUGGUGUUGGCUUAAAAGAUCUGACCAGCUCCAGAGCUGGUGCCUGCGGAAAUGGAAUGUCCCACCAUCGUGCCUGAGCAGCAGCGAGGCCCGCUGCCAGAGAAGCAGGCCAGUGACUGUGGAGCCAUGAUUACUACCUGAAACAGCAGUAGAUUAAAGCACAGGCUCGUGCCUUGGAGAAACAGCAUUUGGUGCCCAAUGUCCGGCCAUGUAUAUCCACAUAGGUCCUGCGAAAGCUGAAAGAAUUGGACGCAGUGCCCUGGUGA